This 64-nucleotide transfer RNA is filed under the name Heterosigma akashiwo. The record is from RNAcentral. Lineage: Eukaryota; Raphidophyceae; Chattonellales; Chattonellaceae.
AGUGGACCAAUGGUUUGAAGACAACUUUUGAAGCAAGAGGGUGGCGGUUCGAAUCCCGCCAUGU